CGCUGGCGGCGUGCUUAAUACAUGCAAGUCAACUUGACUUUAGAUAGCAAUAUCGAAAAGUAGGGUGGCGCACGGGUGCGUAACGCGUAGGUAAUCUGCCCUGAGGUCUGACAUAACCCGUCGAAAGGCGGGCUAACAUCAGAUGAUAUAUAAUCACGACAUCGUGGAAAUAUCAAAUCUUCGGAGCCUUGGGAUGAGCCUGCGUCUGAUUAGGUAGUUGGCGGAGUAAUAGCCCACCAAGCCUACGAUCAGUAGCUGGUCUGAGAGGAUGAUCAGCCACACUGGAACUGAGACACGGUCCAGACUCCUACGGGAGGCAGCAGUAAGGAAUAUUGCUCAAUGGGGGAAACCCUGAAGCAGCAACGCCGCGUGAAGGAUGAAAUACUUUUGUAUGUAAACUUCUGUAAGAUGGGAAAAAUAUUCUCCUCGGGAGAAUUGAUUGUACCAUCAGAGUAAGCCCCGGCUAACUGCGUG
Molecule: ribosomal RNA, 474 nt
Filed under: uncultured bacterium
Lineage: Bacteria
Description: bacterial SSU rRNA
Rfam family: Bacterial small subunit ribosomal RNA
Source: RNAcentral